GAUGAACGCUGGCGGCGUGCCUAAUACAUGCAAGUCGAGCGAACAGACGAGGAGCUUGCUCCUCUGACGUUAGCGGCGGACGGGUGAGUAACACGUGGAUAACCUACCUAUAAGACUGGGAUAACUUCGGGAAACCGGAGCUAAUACCGGAUAAUAUAUUGAACCGCAUGGUUCAAUAGUGAAAGACGGUUUUGCUGUCACUUAUAGAUGGAUCCGCGCCGCAUUAGCUAGUUGGUAAGGUAACGGCUCACCAAGGCAACGAUGCGUAGCCGACCUGAGAGGGUGAUCGGCCACACUGGAACUGAGACACGGUCCAGACUCCUACGGGAGGCAGCAGUAGGGAAUCUUCCGCAAUGGGCGAAAGCCUGACGGAGCAACGCCGCGUGAGUGAUGAAGGUCUUCGGAUCGUAAAACUCUGUUAUUAGGGAAGAACAAAUGUGUAAGUAACUAUACACGUCUUGACGGUACCUAAUCAGAAAGCCACGGCUAACUACGUG
This 497-nucleotide ribosomal RNA is filed under the name uncultured bacterium. RNAcentral's name for it is "partial 16S ribosomal RNA". It matches the Rfam family "Bacterial small subunit ribosomal RNA", at positions 28 to 507 of the family's 1533-position model. The record is from RNAcentral.